GGACGAACGCUGGCGGCGUGCUUAACACAUGCAAGUCGAACGGAAAGGCCCUGCUUUUGUGGGGUGCUCGAGUGGCGAACGGGUGAGUAACACGUGAGUAACCUGCCCUUGACUUUGGGAUAACUUCAGGAAACUGGGGCUAAUACCGGAUAGGAGCUCCUGCUGCAUGGUGGGGGUUGGAAAGUUUCGGCGGUUGGGGAUGGACUCGCGGCUUAUCAGCUUGUUGGUGGGGUAGUGGCUUACCAAGGCUUUGACGGGUAGCCGGCCUGAGAGGGUGACCGGCCACAUUGGGACUGAGAUACGGCCCAGACUCCUACGGGAGGCAGCAGUGGGGAAUAUUGCACAAUGGGCGGAAGCCUGAUGCAGCAACGCCGCGUGCGGGAUGACGGCCUUCGGGUUGUAAACCGCUUUCGCCUAUGACGAAGCGUGAGUGACGGUAAUGGGUAAAGAAGCACCGGCUAACUACGUG
Molecule: ribosomal RNA, 469 nt
Filed under: uncultured bacterium
Lineage: Bacteria
Description: partial 16S ribosomal RNA
Rfam family: Bacterial small subunit ribosomal RNA
Source: RNAcentral